ACCCUAGCCCAGGCGAGGGUACCUACCAAGUUUAAGCAUAUCAAUAAGCGGAGGAAAAG
Molecule: ribosomal RNA, 59 nt
Filed under: Gnetum klossii
Lineage: Eukaryota; Viridiplantae; Streptophyta; Gnetopsida; Gnetales; Gnetaceae
Description: partial 26S ribosomal RNA
Source: RNAcentral